This is a long non-coding RNA of Phyllopteryx taeniolatus (common seadragon), 3044 nucleotides long. RefSeq lists it as uncharacterized. NCBI's taxonomy places the organism in Eukaryota, Metazoa, Chordata, Actinopteri, Syngnathiformes, Syngnathidae. The record is from RefSeq and is a predicted model, not a curated record. The transcript is spliced from 9 exons.
UCCACAGCUCCAUGGCAGAGAGCCUCCCCUCGCUCUCCUCGGAGCCAAAGUCGCAGAGGGAACGGCGUGCGUGCGCGGGCUGACUAGGGCUCUCAUCUGUGCUGUCCAGGAUACCUCGACUCAGGCUGAAGUUCUGGAAGUCUCUGUGGACAAAGAUGAAGGUCCCACAAUUGGAUGCUGCCGUUGCCGUGACCGGUGAACAAAUAGUGGCGAGGUCGCGAGCCCAUCCGGCUGGAACCCUCGCACUCACGGACCAUGAAGCAAGAGAUGGUGGUGCCGUCCACCGACUGCACUUCACAGAUUCUACGACACAAAAAGCACACAGAAUCAAAACUGAGGAAACAGAAAGAGAACAAGCUGGUGUAAACUGUAAAGUUCAAUAUUGCCGAUGAAAAAUCCGCGCGUGUGGUCGACACCAAGAUGGGCCGAUCACAGACCCCGUGAUUAUAAGUGGUACUCUUCUUUGUAUUAUCUCAAAGUCUGGAUGUACUGUGGCACCAUGCUGCCUCUCACUGUGGACGAGAGCCUCACAAAGACCUUGUUGGUGAUGGGGACGACCUUCUGGAUGAACACCUGCUGAUCAUCUCGCUCUCCAAACGGACCUGACGGCACAAAAGCCUUUAACACAUUCACUGCCAUUGACGGCUUUAGAAGUCAAAUAUCCAUGUUAACUGGGAAGGCUGGCAGUGAAUGAGUUAAUAAGCUUCAGGACAGAAGAAUGUUUCUUCUCACCGAUGUCGUUCCCAGAACAGUAGCUGCCGUGGCUCUCUGUUUCCUCCAAGGAGAGUAUUUUGAAGGACGCCAAGGGUGUGGAGCCCGGCUGGGUGGAAAUCAUCCCUCGGAAGCGCGUCACCGUCCAUGUGCGCACGUGGUUGUUAUCGCCGCACACUGACGCCGGAUGUAACAAGUGUGAUCUUUUUAUUCCCUCUGAUCCGCCAUCAUGGCCACGACCACCCUCCCCUCCCCCCCUUACCUGAGACCAGGUGUUUCUCGGACAACAUGAUCUUGGUCACGGGGCUCCUGUGCACAGUGAACGUCUGGAAGAGCUGAGGGCCCGAGCCGACCGUCUCUGGGUGCUGCACGAUGACUCUCACUGCGCCACUGCUGGUCCCGUAGGCGAUCUCGAGCCAGUUCCCGCUCACACCUGAGAGAAGACAACCUGUUUUGGUGCAAAUGGAAGCAUUUUUCCAUCCAGGACACGUAAAAGGAAGUAAACAGUAUACCAAGACCUCUACACUGAAUACCUGCCAGUGCUGCGUUACAGCAUUCCACACUCCGACCUUCCCAGUGUGGCUCGUAGCCACCAGCUGGUUUCCGAUGAAGAAGAGAUCGUCCACAGGCACACCGAGGCUGAACACGCCUGAGGACGAUGCUGCUCUCCGAGGCGGCGGCCACCAUCUUGUCCUUGUCGCCGUGCGGGCCGCCCACCACCUUGGCGUUCAGUGCGAUGCGUUCAAUGGUCCAGUCAAGGCAGGGAGAGGAGAACACUUGUUGCCAUCCGAAUUACCUGUAGCAGAUGACAAAGUGUGCGUACGCCGCUACAAUCCAGUUGUGGUGUCCUGCUAUGAUCAGCACCUUACGAGGGUCCGGUCCUGAACAAUAAACAGUCCAAAAAGCAGGCACACGUGAAAUCAAAUGGCCUCACACACAAACAGGAGGACCGUCUCACCAAGUUUAUGAGCUUCAUCUAAUCCAGGUGAGCCGGGGAAAGGAGGGUGAGGAGGGGCGCCGACAUAGCUGAACCCCUCCGCUCCACUGGAACCCGGUCGCUCGUCACAGGAGGAGGCGGAGCUUGACUUCCGGCCAGGCUUAAGUGAGUUUUACCUGGAGGCGGGAGAUAACCAUGGAAGAGAACGCUGCCACAUGACGAGCGGUCCAAUUCUUCACACAGUAGGAGGCGCCGCACUAUACAAAAAUAUCUUGUCCACAUUCUGACAAAUGAAGAGAUGAGAACGUUGGCUGCAGGAACACACUCAAUAAACAACGUGAGAGUUAUUAAAAAGCUAUAAAAGCCCACAUUCUGCCAAGACUUACCUAAGGGGGUUAUGCCAUAAAAUUCAGCUUCAUGCCGCAGAACGCUGAUGUUGACGCCACUGAGAAGAAACAUACAAGUAGAUUUAUGAAUUGAUCAUGCGAGACACUGUUGACAUCUGAGCAUCAUGUUUGAAUGGCCUCUUACCGCAGGUCAAGUUCUUUGGUUCGGAGGAAAUUUAAAAUUGGUGCAAAAGCUGUGGGGUCUCUGUCAAUAAAUAUCUAAAGGAGGACAAAAAGAUGGCUUCUGUUAUUAGGAAUAAUAAAGGAGUAUGCUGACUGUGUGUAUAACUAUUGCCUGAAAUGAUAUAUUUAUGCAAUUUAAAAGAGCCAUACAGUACUAUGGACUUUUUUUCCCCCCUACAAAAUUUAAAACCGUUUCCAGGUGUCUUUAUAAAAGGUCUCCGACAUUCUUUGUUCAUAAUACACAAAAUGAUGAGGAAUUACAUUACACUAAAUAUUCACCUGUCAACUGUGGUUCAAAUCGCUCAGUUUCGACGUUCGACUCUGUUUUGUGCAAAUGCAGAGUACGGCUUUCGUUACCAUGACGAUCGGGCGUGUAGCUAGAUCAUGUGUUGCCGACUUAGCGACAUUGAUUUAUUUAUUUUUUUUAUUUUCUUGAGGGGUCGGUAAGGUGCCGACUAAGCAUUGUCGCUAAGUCGGCACUUCCCCGAUCCCUCGUGGGGGGAAAAAAUUUUAAAUCUAAAAUCAACAAAUCUAGUGACUUUAUUGUGGUGUUUUUGAGGUGUUUGUGGUGCAGGAGAUUAUUACCCCACCACAUGUGCAAAGUCACCACUGACUGAUUUAACCAAAUGCACUAAAUAUUUACUUGGUUGUUUAAUUUCACACUUUAUGAGUGGGCAGGCACCCCAGACUAUCCAAUUUUAUAACAUUUAUAACAUUUUCCCUUUAAGAAAAUGCAAAUACAAUAUAUUAAAAGACCAAAAAAAUAGGUUCCAUAAAUGAAUAACAGUAUAAUCAAAUGUAAUAAAGACAUUUUGCACUAUGGGUUU